Molecule: unclassified non-coding RNA, 178 nt
Filed under: uncultured fungus
Lineage: Eukaryota; Fungi
Description: sequence contains ITS2
Source: RNAcentral
UAACCACUCAAGCCUGUCUUGGUGUUGGGGUUGCGAAUCUUUUGCAGCCCUCGAGUCUCGUAGCGCCACCUGUGGGUUCUAAGCGUAGUAAUUUCUCCUCGCUAUAGAACCUGCUCGGGGAAAAGUAUAAUUCGUAGCCUGGUUCUAUGUGUCCGCUAUAAAACCCCCAAUUUUUAAA